GGCUGUGAGGGUGAGUUGACUGUGACAUCUGUCACCCCAUUGAUUGCCAGAGUUGAUUCAGCUGAUCUGGCUGGCUAGAAGGGUAUCCCUUUCCUCCCUCAGUGCUUUGUGUGUAUUCCUCCUGAAGUUGUGUGCUCAAUCGAAGAGGACUCUGCUAGAGGAGGACCAUUCUUAAGUAGGUUUCCCUGCUAGAAACUCCAAACAAGCUCCCAGGGUCCAUAGAAACCUGCUCCCCAGCAGUGUUGUCAACCUGACUUCUCCUCAGGUGGAGCAAGACAGAAAUAAUUG
This 288-nucleotide small nuclear RNA is filed under the name Carlito syrichta (Philippine tarsier). RNAcentral's name for it is "7SK RNA (ENSTSYG00000034353.1)". It matches the Rfam family "7SK RNA". From Rfam's summary of the family: 7SK was discovered as an abundant small nuclear RNA in the mid-70s but a possible function has only recently been suggested. Two independent studies have found that 7SK RNA binds the CDK9/cyclin T complex (known as elongation factor P-TEFb). Lineage: Eukaryota; Metazoa; Chordata; Mammalia; Primates; Tarsiidae. The record is from RNAcentral.